UCCCUGGUGGCUCAGAUGGUAAAGAACCUGCCUGCAAUGCAGGAAACCCAGGUUCAAUCCCUGGGUAGGGCA
RNAcentral lists this transfer RNA (72 nucleotides) under Bos taurus (domestic cattle). It matches the Rfam family "tRNA". From Rfam's summary of the family: Transfer RNA (tRNA) molecules are approximately 80 nucleotides in length. The record is from Rfam by way of RNAcentral. Lineage: Eukaryota; Metazoa; Chordata; Mammalia; Artiodactyla; Bovidae. RNAcentral also lists the same sequence under 3 other names.